GAAAUUUGCUCUUUUAGUAUUUCUCUAGUAGGUUUAGUCAAGGAGAAACCCUC
RNAcentral lists this small nuclear RNA (53 nucleotides) under Oncorhynchus mykiss (rainbow trout). RNAcentral's name for it is "U7 small nuclear RNA (ENSOMYG00000012467.2)". It matches the Rfam family "U7 small nuclear RNA". From Rfam's summary of the family: Animal histone pre-mRNAs are spliced by a different mechanism than nuclear pre-mRNAs and self-splicing introns. This processing involves the U7 snRNP, which contains only one RNA species: U7. The 5' end of U7 RNA is thought to base-pair to a conserved spacer element downstream of the cleavage site in histone pre-mRNA. Lineage: Eukaryota; Metazoa; Chordata; Actinopteri; Salmoniformes; Salmonidae. The record is from Rfam by way of RNAcentral.